AUUGGUUGAUAUCUUUGGCGGAAGUACAUGUGAUACAUCCUCAUUCUUUCAAUAUCCAAGCUGUGGGAAGGUCGUGCUCCACGUGUUGUCGGCAAAGUAACUAUAUUCUUUAACUUUUACUUACAUUUGCCUUGGUGGCAAUAUAGCCUUGGUGGCUUUAAGACCUUGGUGGUCAUUUAUAUAUGCCUUGGUGGCAAAAGACCUAGGUGGUCAUUUAUAUAUGCCUUGGUGGCAAUAGACCUAGGUGGUCAUUUUUAUAUGCCUUGGUGGCAAUAGACCUAGGUGGUCAUUUUUAUGAUUUUUUACAUUUGCCUUGAUGGCAACAAUGAAUUAAAAAUACUAGCCUUGGGGGCGUCAAGACCUUGGUGGUCAUUUAUAUUCGCCUUGGCGGCUUCUUGAUAGAACUAGAUGGUAAUGUUUGACCUUGGUGGCAAAAUGUUUUGGGAUUUAGACCUUAGGUAGUUAUUAUCAACCCAGGUGGUCAGAUAUUUGUUAUGCCGUGCGCCGGUUAAACGCAGGGCAAAGUGCUAUCGCUAUAUAAAAUAUAUGUGGAAGUGGGGGCUCUGGCCAUUUUUGGAAAAUUGUAGUUGAAAGGAGAAUAAUAAAUUGUUUUAUAGGGUAAAUAGUUUCUUUUGUUACUUUUGACUGUGUUGUGGACUUUUCAUUUAUUUUUACAUCGUACAUACUGAUAGAAAUGCUAUUUAAAGACUUUGUUAGAAAAGAAUAGAAUUAUUGAGAAAGUGGAAUAAUUUAGUGUGACAUGUCACUUGAUAUUCAUGUUUUUUAUCGGAGUGAUGUGUAUUGAAUUAUAAGGUGUCUUCGUCGAGGUCCGCGUUCAGCGGUCUGUUUGAUUGUACAUAGAAUUGAAUAGAAUGUUUUUGUUUUCAGAUGGUGUUACCUACAGCUUUGACAGGGUGACGAAUGAAGGAGAAGUAAUAUGACAUUGCACGAUGAUUCAUGUCAAUGAGUUCGAACAACCUUUUUAAAAGGAAAGGAUUUUUUCUAAUCAGAAUAUGGUGAGAACAAAUUGCAAUUGAAGUAAUGUUUUGAUUUCUGAAAAUAGGAAAAUAAUGAAUGGGGAAAAUAUUGAUACUACACUAAAUUAUGUAUGUCUGUCUGUGUUGAGAAAGGCAGAAGAUGCCAAUAUGGCACGGUACUAAAAAAAAAAAAAAAAAAAAAAAAUCUGUGAUGGAAGCAGCUUUAUGUUCAAAUGAACCUAUUUAAAAGUAAUGCUAAUAAUUUUUCCGUAAUUUCAUGAUGUUUUCUAUUGGAUGUGUAUUUAAUUUCAUUGAUGUGUUGAAAUAUGUCACAAAAAUCUUUUUGUCAUGGGAGAUUAAAUAAUGGUUGCAAUAUUUUUGUUUUGUUUUGUUUUAUCUAAAUUAAUAAAUAAAUAUAAUGUUGAAUGAUUUUGUAUACUAGUACAAAUGUAUACUUAAAUUUUAUGUAUGGUUAAAUUUUUUAAUUUAAAUUUCUUUGUCUACAGUUCGAGGGACACUGAUUCCCUAGUGGUUUUCCACGUGGAUUGUAGGCAAAGGGAUUUUUCCUUUUCAAAGUGUGACUAAUGCUGUCUUUAGUACAAAUAAACAAUUUGUUAUUGGUUAAUAUAUUUUCAGCAGACAUGUGAAGAAUCGAGUGGAAAUACAAUUGUCAAUGUUCCUGAUUAUGAAGUAAAGAGUGUGUUUGAUUCAACAACAGUAAAGAAAGAGACAAGCCAGCAUAGUUUACACUUGGAGGUUAAGUCCCUUUGCUUACAAGCUUUCCACAUGCUGAAGAUGUUAUUAGAAUAAUGACAAUGUUCAUUUUGAUAUGAGUUCAUUGCCUUAACUCAACUUUUAAAAGUCCGUAUGUGGUCAAAUUCAUGAGAAUUUAUUGAAUUAUGAACGAUUUAUAAAGAACUG
This 1898-nucleotide long non-coding RNA is filed under the name Mytilus galloprovincialis (Mediterranean mussel). Lineage: Eukaryota; Metazoa; Mollusca; Bivalvia; Mytilida; Mytilidae. The record is from RNAcentral.